CUAACAAGGAUUCCCCUAGUAACUGCGAGUGAAGCGGGAAAAGCUCAAAUUUAAAAUCUGUCAGCUUUGGCUGUCCGAGUUGUAAUCUAGAGAAGUGUUAUCCGCGCUGGACCGUGUACAAGUCUCCUGGAAUGGAGCGUCAUAGAGGGUGAGAAUCCCGUCUUUGACACGGACUGCCAGGGCUUUGUGAUGCGCUCUCAAAGAGUCGAGUUGUUUGGGAAUGCAGCUCAAAAUGGGUGGUAAAUUCCAUCUAAAGCUAAAUAUUGGCGAGAGACCGAUAGCGAACAAGUACCGUGAGGGAAAGAUGAAAAGAACUUUGGAAAGAGAGUUAAACAGUACGUGAAAUUGCUGAAAGGGAAACGCUUGAAGUCAGUCGCGUUGUCCAGGGACUCAACCUUGCUUUUGCUUGGUGUACUUUCUGGUUGACGGGUCAGCAUCAAUUUUGACUAUUGGAAAAAGGUCAGGGGAAUGUGGCAUCUUUGGAUGUGUUAUAGCCCUUGGUUGUAUACAAUGGUUGGGAUUGAGGAACUCAGCACGCCGCAAGGCCGGGUUUUUUUAACCACGUACGUGCUUAGGAUGCUGGCAUAAUGGCUUUAAUCGACCCGUCUUGAAACACGGACCAWGGAGUCUAACAUACCUGCGAGUGUUUGGGUGGAAAACCCAAGCGCGUAAUGAAAGUGAAAGUUGAGAUCCCUGUCGUGGGGAGCAUCGACGCCCGGACCAGACCUUUUGUGACGGUUCCGCGGUAGAGCAUGUAUGU
This 760-nucleotide ribosomal RNA is filed under the name Cortinarius napivelatus. Its description in RNAcentral is "eukaryotic LSU rRNA". It matches the Rfam family "Eukaryotic large subunit ribosomal RNA", at positions 65 to 809 of the family's 3401-position model. The record is from RNAcentral. Lineage: Eukaryota; Fungi; Basidiomycota; Agaricomycetes; Agaricales; Cortinariaceae.